This is an RNA transcript of Sapajus apella (tufted capuchin), 1082 nucleotides long. It is a transcript of the gene named anaphase-promoting complex subunit 15 pseudogene, with no coding region annotated. The record is from RefSeq and is a predicted model, not a curated record. NCBI's taxonomy places the organism in Eukaryota, Metazoa, Chordata, Mammalia, Primates, Cebidae. The transcript has 2 exons.
GUACUAAGAAGUUGCUAUCAGUUCUUCAGAAGGGGUUAACAAGCAAAAGGCGUCUGGGAACAAAGGGACGGGUUAAAUCGUGCUGUCGGGGCGGGGCCAGGAUGGAGAGGCCGAUUGGCUGAGACUCAAGGCGGGGCAGAUAGGCGCGGCACAAUUCCUUCCCUAACAAUAAGGCUAAGGUAUGUCAACGUCACAUCCGGUUUAGUGGGCGGGAGCGGGGAAAAACAAAAGGAGACGAAGGACGCAUGCGUUUGGUGAGUCCCGGAUUCUGGUGGGUUCUUCCGCUCAGGCUGAGUGAAGCGCUUCCGGGUCGCCGCUGGCGGUCGCCUACCCGCGCGAUGAAGACACUGAGGCCCAGAGAGGUUAAGUGACUCAGCCAAGGUCAAACAGUUAUCUAGGAGCCAUGUCCACUUUGUUCUCCUCACUCUUCCCUCGUGUGACUGAGACACUGUGGUGUAAUGUGGAUCGACCCUGUGUGGAAGGGACAGAGCUGAAGCAUCAGGAACAGCAGCAUCAGGCCUCGCUCCAAAGCAUCGCAGAGAAAGACAACAACCUGGUUCCUAUUGGCAAGCCAGCAUCAGAGCAUCAUGAUGAUGAGGAAGAAGAGGAUGAUGAAGAUGAUGAGGACAGUGAAGAGGACUCAGAGGAUGAUGAGGACAUGCAGGACAUGGAUGAGAGGAAUGACUACAGUGAGUCACCUGAUGACAGAGAGGUCAAUGAGGUGGCAUGGAAGGCAAUGAACAGGAUCGGGACCAGUGGAUGAUCUGGGGAGACAAGGCAGGGUGGCCUCAGGGAGAUUCCAGGCCAGCCCAACCUACCCUGCAUCCCAACCCCCACAGAACCAGCGGACAGCCCCAGUGCCUCAAAGUGCCCUUGGGCACCUCCUCAGCUGCUGCCAGGAUCUGGUCUCCUUGGCCUCUCCCAGGCCAUCAGUCUGCACUUGAAAUCCCCAGAGCCUGAGCCUCACUUCACCUUCCUGGCCAGUACCUCACCCCUUGGUUGCCAGGUCUGGUUUCUUUCUAAGUUUCUUUAAUAAAGACAAAGGAGUGAUUUUAAAACAAACAAACAAAAACAAACAAAAA